UACGAAGGGGGCUAGCGUUGCUCGGAAUCACUGGGCGUAAAGGGUGCGUAGGCGGGUCUUUAAGUCAGGGGUGAAAUCCUGGAGCUCAACUCCAGAACUGCCUUUGAUACUGAGGAUCUUGAGUUCGGGAGAGGUGAGUGGAACUGCGAGUGUAGAGGUGAAAUUCGUAGAUAUUCGCAAGAACACCAGUGGCGAAGGCGGCUCACUGGCCCGAUACUGACGCUGAGGCACGAAAAGCGUGGGGAGCAAACAGGGAUUAAGAUAACCUUGUAGUCCCAGAACCAAGAUCUCCUUCGA
Molecule: ribosomal RNA, 297 nt
Filed under: uncultured bacterium
Lineage: Bacteria
Description: partial 16S ribosomal RNA
Rfam family: Bacterial small subunit ribosomal RNA
Source: RNAcentral